UGCUACGACCAUGCCACUCAGCCUGAUCCCGUCUGAUCUCGAAAGCUAGGCAGGGUCGGCCAUGGUUAGUACUUAGAUAGGAGACCACCUAGGAAGACCAGGUGCUGUAGGUG
This 113-nucleotide ribosomal RNA is filed under the name Pteropus alecto (black flying fox). The record is from RNAcentral. Lineage: Eukaryota; Metazoa; Chordata; Mammalia; Chiroptera; Pteropodidae.